Molecule: long non-coding RNA, 547 nt
Organism: Telopea speciosissima
Lineage: Eukaryota; Viridiplantae; Streptophyta; Magnoliopsida; Proteales; Proteaceae
Exons: 2
Source: RefSeq, a predicted model, not a curated record
UUAUUCCUGACGGUGGUUUUCACCUUUUAUGAUAAAACAUUGAUUAUACCAUCAUAUAAACCAUAUUUGUAUACAUGAGUGCUUGAGUUGGUUAUGGUUAUAUACUGUUCUUGACUUGAUUUUUGCAUAACUAAUUUUAUUAAUCUUGACAGGCGCCUCAAGGAGUGCAUGUAGUCUGCAAAAGCUUUCCAAAAAUUAAGAUUGUGACAUCUGAGAUCGAAAUUGGUUUGAAUGAAGAAUACCGUGUCAUCCCUGGCAUGGGUGAGUUUGGGGACCGAUAUUUUGGCACAGAUGAUGAGGACCAGCAAGUUGGGUCCCCGGUAUAGCUCAAAUGAGAGGUAUCAAGUUCUGACAUUGAAACCAGGGUGGAUUCCAACUGGAAUAAUGAGACAGUCAAUUUUGUAGUUUUAAAUUUGAGUGAACCUACAUUUGAAAUCUAUGUCUCCUUCCAGCUUUAGACACAAGCUGAGGGAUAUUUGGUUGCAGGUUUCAUAUCGUGCACAUGCUACAUGAGCUUGAAUCCCUCUUCAAUAUAUAGAUUGUACAG